UGGGGAAUUUUGGACAAUGGGCGCAAGCCUGAUCCAGCCAUGCCGCGUGGGUGAAGAAGGCCUUCGGGUUGUAAAGCCCUUUCGGCCGGGAAGAAAACGUGCGGGCGAACAGUCUGCAUGGAUGACGGUACCGGAAGAAGAAGCUCCGGCUAACUACGUGCCAGCAGCCGCGGUAAUACGUCGGGUGCGAGCGUUAAUCGGAAUUAUUGGGCGUAAAGCGUGCGCAGGCGGCGCCAUAAGACAGCUGUGAAAUCCCCGGGCUUAACCUGGGAACUGCGGUUGUGACUGUGGGGCUAGAGGACGGCAGAGGGAGGUGGAAUGCCUGGUGUAGCAGUGAAAUGCGUAGAGAUCAGGAGGAACACCGAUGGCGAAGGCAGCCUCCUGGGCUGAUACUGACGCUCAUGCACGAAAGCGUGGGGAGCAAACA
This 427-nucleotide ribosomal RNA is filed under the name uncultured bacterium. RNAcentral describes it as "bacterial SSU rRNA". It matches the Rfam family "Bacterial small subunit ribosomal RNA", at positions 355 to 774 of the family's 1533-position model. The record is from RNAcentral.